This 196-nucleotide ribosomal RNA is filed under the name uncultured bacterium. Its description in RNAcentral is "partial 16S ribosomal RNA". It matches the Rfam family "Bacterial small subunit ribosomal RNA", at positions 326 to 539 of the family's 1533-position model. The record is from RNAcentral.
ACGCUCUACACCUACGGGGCAGCAGUGGGGAAUAUUGCACAAUGGGGGAAACCCUGAUGCAGCGACGCCGCGUGGAGGAAGAAGGUCUUCGGAUUGUAAACUCCUGUUGUUGGGGAAAAAGAGGAUGGUACCCAACAAGGAAGUGACGGCUAACUACGUGCCCGCAGCCGCGGUAAUCUGAGCGGGCUGGCAAGGC